GCCAGGCAUGGUGGUGCACACCUGUAGUCCCAGCUACUCGGGAGGCUGAGGCAGGAGAAUUGCUUGAGCCCAGGAGUGCAAGGCUGCAGUAAGCUACGACUCUACCACUCUACUCCAGCCUGGGCAACACAGCGAGACCCUGCCUCUA
Unclassified non-coding RNA from Pongo abelii (Sumatran orangutan), 148 nucleotides. It matches the Rfam family "Metazoan signal recognition particle RNA". Rfam says of the family: The signal recognition particle (SRP) is a universally conserved ribonucleoprotein. It is involved in the co-translational targeting of proteins to membranes. Lineage: Eukaryota; Metazoa; Chordata; Mammalia; Primates; Hominidae. The record is from Ensembl.